RNAcentral lists this ribosomal RNA (287 nucleotides) under Enterococcus faecium. RNAcentral's name for it is "partial 23S ribosomal RNA". It matches the Rfam family "Bacterial large subunit ribosomal RNA", at positions 424 to 713 of the family's 2925-position model. Lineage: Bacteria; Bacillati; Bacillota; Bacilli; Lactobacillales; Enterococcaceae. The record is from RNAcentral.
ACGAGAAAUUCCGUCGGACUCCGGGAGGACCAUCUCCCAAGGCUAAAUACUCCCUAGGGACCGAUAGUGAACCAGUACCGUGAGCGAAAGGUGAAAAGCACCCCGGAAGGGGAGUGAAAUAGAACCUGAAACCGUGUGCCUACAACAAGUCAAAGCCCGAUAAUGGGUGAUGGCGUGCCUUUUGUAGAAUGAACCGGCGAGUUACGAUAGCAUGCGAGGUUAAGUUGAAGAGACGGAGCCGCAGCGAAAGCGAGUCUGAAUAGCGCGUUUGAGUAUGUAGUCGUAGA